AGGGGCGAAAGACUAAUCGAACCAUCAAGUAGCUGGUUCCCUCCGAAGUUUCCCUCAGGAUAGCUGGAACUUAUGAGAAAGUAGUUUUAUCAGGUAAAGCGAAUGAUUAGAGGCUUUGGGGAAGAAACUUCCUCGACCUAUUCUCAAACUUUAAAUAGGUAAGAUUUGAAGGAUACUUAAGUGAUCUUUCAAUCUCUUGAAUAUAAAGUUCUUAGUGGGCCAUUUUUGGUAAGCAGAACUGGCGAUGUGGGAUGAACCGAACGUUAAGUUAAAGUGCCAAAUAAUACGCUCAUGAGAUACCAUAAAAGGUGUUGGUUCAUUUUGACAGCAGGACGGUGGCCAUGGAAGUCGGAACCCGCUAAGGAGUGUGUAACAACUCACCUGCCGAAUGAACUAGCCCUGAAAAUGGAUGGCGCUUAAGCGUACAACUUAUACUUAACCCUUACUUGAAUUAUUAUAGCGAGUAAGGAGUAGGAGGG
Molecule: ribosomal RNA, 479 nt
Filed under: uncultured eukaryote
Lineage: Eukaryota
Description: eukaryotic LSU rRNA
Rfam family: Eukaryotic large subunit ribosomal RNA
Source: RNAcentral